RNAcentral lists this ribosomal RNA (243 nucleotides) under Lutjanus fulvus (blacktail snapper). Its description in RNAcentral is "partial small subunit ribosomal RNA". The record is from RNAcentral. Lineage: Eukaryota; Metazoa; Chordata; Actinopteri; Lutjaniformes; Lutjanidae.
AGAGACCCAAGUUGUUAGACACCGGCGUAAAGAGUGGUUAAGACUUAACUCAAAACUAAAGCCGAACACCCUCAGAGCUGUUAUACGCACCCGAAGGUAAGAAGCCCAACCACGAAAGUGGCUUUACGCCAUCCGAGUCCACGAAAGCUAUGAUACAAACUGGGAUUAGAUACCCCACUAUGCCUAGCCAUAAACAUUGAUAGAAAACUACACCCACUAUCCGCCCGGGAACUACGAGCAUCA